Molecule: ribosomal RNA, 458 nt
Filed under: Actinomyces sp. oral taxon 448
Lineage: Bacteria; Bacillati; Actinomycetota; Actinomycetes; Actinomycetales; Actinomycetaceae
Description: bacterial SSU rRNA
Rfam family: Bacterial small subunit ribosomal RNA
Source: RNAcentral
GACGAACGCUGGCGGCGUGCUUAACACAUGCAAGUCGAACGGGCCUGCCUGGCUUUGGUUGGGUGGGUGAGUGGCGAACGGGUGAGUAACACGUGAGUAACCUGCCCUCUUCUCUUGGAUAACUGCUUGAAAGGGCGGCUAAUACGGGAUGUUCUGGCUGCCUCGCACGGGGUGGUUUGGAAAGAUUCGGCCUGGUUUUGGUUGUUUUGGUGGGGGAUGGGCUCGCGGCUUAUCAGCUUGUUGGUGGGGUGAUGGCCUACCAAGGCGGUGACGGGUAGCCGGCCUGAGAGGGUGGACGGUCACACUGGGACUGAGACACGGCCCAGACUCCUGCGGGAGGCAGCAGUGGGGGAUUUUGCACAAUGGGCGCAAGCCUGAUGCAGCGACGCCGCGUGAGGGAUGGAGGCCUUCGGGUUGUGAACCUCUGUCGCCGGUGAUGUAGGCUCUGCUUUGUGGGU